This 490-nucleotide ribosomal RNA is filed under the name uncultured bacterium. RNAcentral describes it as "partial 16S ribosomal RNA". It matches the Rfam family "Bacterial small subunit ribosomal RNA", at positions 28 to 507 of the family's 1533-position model. The record is from RNAcentral.
GAUGAACGCUAGCUACAGGCUUAACACAUGCAAGUCGCGGGGCAGCAUGGGGGUUGCUUGCAAUCCCCGAUGGCGACCGGCGCACGGGUGAGUAACGCGUAUCCAACCUGCCCUUCACCACGGGAUAACCCGGCGAAAGUCGGACUAAUACCGUAUGUUGUCCAUUGACGGCAUCCGAUUUGGACGAAAGGCUUGGCGGCGAGGGAUGGGGAUGCGUCCGAUUAGCCAGACGGCGGGGUAACGGCCCACCGUGGCUACGAUCGGUAGGGGUUCUGAGAGGAAGGUCCCCCACACUGGAACUGAGACACGGUCCAGACGCCUACGGGAGGCAGCCGUGAGGAGUAUUGGUCAAUGGGCGUAAGCCUGAACCAGCCAAGUAGCGUGCAGGAUGACGGCCCUAUGGGUUGUAAACUGCUUUUAUGCGGGGAUAAAGUGGCCCACGUGUGGGCUUUUGCAGGUACCGCAUGAAUAAGGACCGGCUAAUUCCGUG